This 118-nucleotide ribosomal RNA is filed under the name Lupinus angustifolius (narrow-leaved blue lupine). The record is from RNAcentral. Lineage: Eukaryota; Viridiplantae; Streptophyta; Magnoliopsida; Fabales; Fabaceae.
AGGUGCGAUCAUACCAGCAAUAAUGCGACGUAUCCCAUCAAAACUCCGCGAUAAAGUGUGCAUGUGCGAGAGUAGUACUAGGAUGGGUGACCUCCUGGGAAGUCCUUGUUUGCACCUC